GAUGAACGCUAGCGGCAGGCUUAAUACAUGCAAGUCGAGGGGCAGCAGCUUUGUAGCAAUACAGGGGCUGGCGACCGGCAAACGGGUGCGGAACACGUACGCAACCUUCCUUUAACUGGAAGAUAGCCCACCGAAAGGUGGAUUAAUACUACAUAACAUAUUGAAGAGGCAUCUCUUUGAUAUUAAAGCUCCGGCGGUUAAAGAUGGGCGUGCGUCUGAUUAGGUAGUUGGCGGGGUAACGGCCCACCAAGCCUUCGAUCAGUAGCUGAUGUGAGAGCAUGAUCAGCCACACGGGCACUGAGACACGGGCCCGACUCCUACGGGAGGCAGCAGUAAGGAAUAUUGGUCAAUGGACGCAAGUCUGAACCAGCCAUGCCGCGUGGAGGAUGAAGGCCCUCUGGGUUGUAAACUUC
RNAcentral lists this ribosomal RNA (413 nucleotides) under uncultured bacterium. Its description in RNAcentral is "bacterial SSU rRNA". It matches the Rfam family "Bacterial small subunit ribosomal RNA", at positions 28 to 433 of the family's 1533-position model. The record is from RNAcentral.